RNAcentral lists this ribosomal RNA (392 nucleotides) under uncultured bacterium. RNAcentral describes it as "bacterial SSU rRNA". It matches the Rfam family "Bacterial small subunit ribosomal RNA", at positions 29 to 402 of the family's 1533-position model. The record is from RNAcentral.
AUCAACGCUGGCGGCGUGCCUAACACAUGCAAGUCGAACGCGAAAGUCCCGCAAGGGGAUCAGUAGAGUGGCAAACGGGUGAGUAACGCGUGGGUGACCUGCCUUCGAGCGGGGGAUAACGUUCCGAAAGGGACGCUAAUACCGCAUAACAUCCUGCCUUUGAAGAGGUGGAGAGUCAAAAGCUGGGGGAUCGCAAGACCUAGCACUUGAAGAGGGGCCCGCGUCCGAUUAGCGUAGUUGGGAGGUAACGGACUCACCAAGGCAACGAUCGGUAGCCGGCCUGAGAGGGCGGACGGGCCACACUGGGACUGAGACACGGCCCAGACUCCUACGGGAGGCAGCAGUGGGGAAUCUUGCGCAAUGGGCGAAAGCCUGACGCAGCGACGCCGCGU